Dermacentor albipictus is the source of this 558-nucleotide long non-coding RNA. RefSeq lists it as uncharacterized. Lineage: Eukaryota; Metazoa; Arthropoda; Arachnida; Ixodida; Ixodidae. The record is from RefSeq and is a predicted model, not a curated record.
GGCUCGCUGCGCGGCUGUGCGAUGUGGCAACUCGGGGAGCAACACAAGGGCGAAAUUUUUCCGUUCCGCAGCGGACGAGAGUUGUGACAUAUGGCGAAAUUACGCUAAAUGGGGAGUCCUGGUGGGGCUGCCAUGGGAGCAGAUGACACAGCGGCUAUACGGCCUCUGCUCGGACCACUUCAGGGGGAGGGACUACGCCGACCUCGUCGUGGUCGGCUGUGCCAACUGUUGGAGUGGAAGAGCAGUCCCUGGGGGAUCGAUGAAGAUAAGGAAAUCAAGUUAUUAGUGGUUGUCAGUUCUACACGGCCGUAGCGACGCCAAAAGCGGAAAACAUAAUCACCAGAGAACGCAGGCGUCAUCAACCGAUUGAGAAAUGAUACACAAACGUAUCGCAAGUCAGCCAAGUUCAAGAGAUGCCGAAAUAUUACCACGAGGGAAGCACAAGACAAGUUGAUGUCUCAUGUGAGCCCAGAAUUCUACCAAUUCUUGCAGUGCCAGGUGACGCUCCAUUACCGCAAGAGGAAGGGAAGGACAUGGAUAAAUCUUUUCCGGAGCACA